This 75-nucleotide non-coding RNA is filed under the name unclassified sequences. The record is from Rfam.
CUUGUGGAGAGUACAAGAACUUGUGAGUAGUAUUUGAAUUUAUUCAAUACAAAAGCAUACUCGAUGAAGCAAGAA